This is a long non-coding RNA of Mus musculus (house mouse), 586 nucleotides long. RefSeq annotates it as predicted gene, 35986. The transcript is spliced from 3 exons. The record is from RefSeq and is marked validated. NCBI's taxonomy places the organism in Eukaryota, Metazoa, Chordata, Mammalia, Rodentia, Muridae.
AUCACGCUUUUUACUCGUCUACAGGGAAAUCUCCUCCCCCUCGUGCGAUCGGGAAAAUUAACCCUUUGCGCGAGAGGGCGCAGAAGAGCAAGACCUCCCAUCGCCCUGGGGGAUAGUUUUGUUUACAAGAAGCCAACUAAAAUGAGGCGAGGGCAUUUCAUGCAGUCAGAUCAUCUCAGGAAGACACUGGAGGCUGAGGCGGGAAGACUGGUGCUAGUAAAAUUGCCAGAAAUUUGAGGACAAGGCUUCCAAGUUCAACAGUCCUGACUGUCCCGGAACUCACUUUGUAGACCAGUCUGGUCUUGAACUCAAAGCAAUACACCUACCUCUGCUUCCCAAGUGCCAGGAUUAAAGAAGUGGCCCCCACCUCCAGAUAGAAUGAUUAUUUUCUUUCUGGACUUUUAUAAGGGUAGGAAAGAUGGCAGAGGAUAUUGGGAGAAAGCCCAGCAUUGCAAGUAAGAAUCAUUAUGAAAAGCUUUCUUGUGUGCUCGUUCCUAAGACAUAGCCGGAUAUCUAGUUAAUAUUGAAUAUGUGUAACUGGUAUUCCAACAUAAUUGGCAAUUUAUAGUUGGCAAUAAAGUGUUUA